CGAGGAAUUUUGCGCAAUGGGGGAAACCCUGACGCAGCAACGCCGCGUGGGUGAUGAAGGCUUUCGGGUCGUAAAGCCCUUUUGUCGGGGACGACCGCGACGGUACCCGACGAAGAAGCCACGGCUAACUACGUGCCAGCAGCCGCGGUAAUACGUAGGUGGCGAGCGUUGUCCGGAUUUACUGGGCGUAAAGCGCGCGCAGGCGGUUGGUUAAGUCCUCUGUGAAAUCGCCCGGCUCAACUGGGUGGCUGCGGAGGAGACUGGUCGACUGGAGGGGCCUAGAGGCCGGUGGAACUCCCGGUGUAGUGGUGAAAUGCGUAGAGAUCGGGAAGAACACCAGUGGCGAAGGCGGCCGGCUGGGGGCACCCUGACGCUGAGGCGCGAGAGCGUGGGGAGCAAACCGGAUUAGAUACCCCCGUAGUCC
This 424-nucleotide ribosomal RNA is filed under the name uncultured bacterium. RNAcentral describes it as "bacterial SSU rRNA". It matches the Rfam family "Bacterial small subunit ribosomal RNA", at positions 355 to 796 of the family's 1533-position model. The record is from RNAcentral.